RNAcentral lists this long non-coding RNA (210 nucleotides) under Elaeis guineensis (African oil palm). RNAcentral's name for it is "long non-coding RNA (EGUI_LNC034554)". Lineage: Eukaryota; Viridiplantae; Streptophyta; Magnoliopsida; Arecales; Arecaceae. The record is from RNAcentral.
GGAGGUAGUGUGGUUGCAGAAGUUAAUCACAGAGCUUGAAGUUAUACACUCUAUUAAUGACCAUGUUCUGCUGUAUUGUGACAGUAUUGGAGCCAUAGCUCAAGCGAAAGAAUUGAAAUCACACCAACGUACCAAACACAUUCUGCACUGCUAUCACCUUGUACGUGCGAUCAUAGUUUGAGGUGAUGUCGAGCUUUAGAAAAUCGAUGA